AGAGUUUGAUCAUGGCUCAGAUUGAACGCUGGCGGCAUGCCUUACACAUGCAAGUCGAACGGCAGCACGGGAGCAAUCCUGGUGGCGAGUGGCGAACGGGUGAGUAAUAUAUCGGGACGUGCCCAGUCGUGGGGGAUAACGCAGCGAAAGCUGUGCUAAUACCGCAUACGAUCUCUGGAUGAAAGCGGGGGACUCGCAAGGGCCUCGCGCGAUUGGAGCGGCCGAUAUCAGAUUAGGUAGUUGGUGGGGUAAAGGCCUACCAAGCCUGCGAUCUGUAGCUGGUCUGAGAGGACGACCAGCCACACUGGAACUGAGACACGGUCCAGACUCCUACGGGAGGCAGCAGUGGGGAAUUUUGGACAAUGGGCGCAAGCCUGAUCCAGCAAUGCCGCGUGCAGGAUGAAGGCCUUCGGGUUGUAAACUGCUUUUGUACGGAGCGAAACGGUCUGCCCUAAUACGGCGGGCUAAUGACGGUACCGUAAGAAUAAGCACCGGCUAACUACGUGCCAGCAGCCGCGGUAAUACGUAGGGUGCGAGCGUUAACCGGAAUUACUGGGCGUAAAGCGUGCGCAGGCGGUGAUAUAAGACAGAUGUGAAAUCCCCGGGCUCAACCUGGGACCUGCAUUUGUGACUGUAUCGCUAGAGUACGGUAGAGGGGGAUGGAAUUCCGCGUGUAGCAGUGAAAUGCGUAGAUAUGCGGAGGAACACCGAUGGCGAAAGCAAUCCCCUGGACCUGUACUGACGCUCAUGCACGAAAGCGUGGGGAGCAAACAGGAUUAGAUACCCUGGUAGUCCACGCCCUAAACGAUGUCAACUGGUUGUUGGGUCUUCACUGAC
RNAcentral lists this ribosomal RNA (837 nucleotides) under bacterium enrichment culture clone IsoM-54. RNAcentral describes it as "bacterial SSU rRNA". It matches the Rfam family "Bacterial small subunit ribosomal RNA", at positions 8 to 839 of the family's 1533-position model. The record is from RNAcentral.